UAUCGCUUAUGGGUGGUCUCGCGUCAGAUUAGAUAGUUGGUGAGGUAACGGCUCACCAAGUCAACGAUCUGUAGCCGAACUGAGAGGUUGAUCGGCCGCAUUGGGACUGAGACACGGCCCAGACUCCUACGGGAGGCAGCAGUGGGGAAUAUUGCGCAAUGGGGGCAACCCUGACGCAGCAACGCCGCGUGCAGGAAGAAGGUCUUCGGAUUGUAAACUGUUGUCGCAAGGGAAGAAGACAGUGACGGUACCUUGUGAGAAAGUCACGGCUAACUACGUGCCAGCAGCCGCGGUAAUACGUAGGUGACAAGCGUUGUCCGGAUUUACUGGGUGUAAAGGGCGCGUAGGCGGACUGUCAAGUCAGUCGUGAAAUACCGGGGCUUAACCCCGGGGCUGCGAUUGAAACUGACAGCCUUGAGUAUCGGAGAGGAAAGCGGAAUUCCUAGUGUAGCGGUGAAAUGCGUAGAUAUUAGGAGGAACACCAGUGGCGAAGGCGGCUUUCUGGACGACAACUGACGCUGAGGCGCGAAAGUGUGGGGAGCAAACAGGAUUAGAUACCCUGGUAGUCCACACCGU
This 576-nucleotide ribosomal RNA is filed under the name uncultured bacterium. RNAcentral describes it as "bacterial SSU rRNA". It matches the Rfam family "Bacterial small subunit ribosomal RNA", at positions 213 to 803 of the family's 1533-position model. The record is from RNAcentral.